CGCGGAAUCGCGGGGGCGACGCGUUUCUCGGCAGCUGUUGUGUAAUUAAAUCUCCCAGAUGACACCAGGCCCGCUGCAGCUUCAGAAGUGACUGAGGGACAAUGACAUCAAGGCCAAUGGCAAAUAAGGAAGGAGUCAGUGGCAGCAAAGAGGAGGAAAAGGAGUCGGUGGUAGUGAGGAGAGUGUCUUUGCCAAGAAAAAUUUGACUUGGAAAAAAAACAAAUGGAACAUCUGUGCAAUGAGCUAAGAUGGAGAAGAAAACUUGAGAUAUACAGACUGAAGUAGAUUGUUGCCCAUAAAACUCAAGCCACAAAGGAACUGAACUGUACUGAAUGUUUGCUGCAGCACAUACAGACUCAUACCUGCCAAUAUGUCCCUAUUUUCUCAUUCACCUGAAUGGGGAAAUAGGGACAUGUUGGCGGGUAUGCAGUCUUGGCACACCAACACUUCUGAAAUGUAUCCUUCAGGUCUGUUCUUCUCCUGCCAAUCCUAAACAUGUUGAUUAAAAAGAAA
Hemicordylus capensis (graceful crag lizard) is the source of this 513-nucleotide long non-coding RNA. RefSeq lists it as uncharacterized. The record is from RefSeq and is a predicted model, not a curated record. NCBI's taxonomy places the organism in Eukaryota, Metazoa, Chordata, Lepidosauria, Squamata, Cordylidae. The transcript has 5 exons.